CGGAUUGUAGUCUGCAACCGACUACAUGAAGCUGGAAUCGCUAGUAAUCGCGGAUCAGAAUGCCGCGGUGAAUACGUUCCCGGGUCUUGUACACACCGCCCGUCACACCAUGGGAGUCGGAAAUGCCCGAAGUCUGUGACCCAACCUUAGGGAGGGAGCAGCCGAAGGCAGGUCGGAUGACUGGGGUGAAGUCGUAACAAGGUAAC
RNAcentral lists this ribosomal RNA (206 nucleotides) under uncultured bacterium. Its description in RNAcentral is "partial 16S ribosomal RNA". It matches the Rfam family "Bacterial small subunit ribosomal RNA", at positions 1294 to 1500 of the family's 1533-position model. The record is from RNAcentral.